Ruditapes philippinarum (Manila clam) is the source of this 917-nucleotide long non-coding RNA. RefSeq lists it as uncharacterized. The record is from RefSeq and is a predicted model, not a curated record. The transcript has 2 exons. Lineage: Eukaryota; Metazoa; Mollusca; Bivalvia; Venerida; Veneridae.
AAGGGGGAUAUAGAAAUAGGCUCCGUCCGUCCGUCUGUCCGUCCGUCCGUCACACUUUCGUGUCCAGUCCAUAACUUUGUCAUUUAUGAAAGGAAUUUGAAAUAACAUGGCACAAAUGUUUAUUAUAAUAAGACGAUGUGUCAUGCGCAAAAACCAGUCACCUACCUUCAAGGUCAAGGUCACACUUGGAGGUCAAAUAUUAACAUAGUCUGUUACAGGGUAUAUUUCGUGUCUGGUCCAUAACUUUGUCAUUUAUGAAAGGAAUUUGAAAUAACUUGGCACAAAUGUUUGUUAUAAUAAGACGAUGUGACAUGCGCAACAACCAGACCCGUACCUUCAGGGUCAAGGUCGUACUUGCUCAUUCAAGGUUAACAUUGUCUAUUUGAGGGUAUAUGUCGUGUCCGGUCCAUUACUUUCUUAUCUAUGAAGGGAUUUUGUAAAUACUUGCCAUAAUUGUUCACAAUAAUCAGAUGAUGUGUCAUGCGCAAAAACCGGUCACCUACCUCCAAGGUCAAGGUCACACUUAGAGGUCAAAGAUUUACAUAGUCUGUUAUAGGGUAUAUUUUGUGUCCAAUCUAUAACUUCUUCAUAGUUCAAGGGAUUUUGAAAAUACUUGGCACAAAUAGUCUCAAUAAUAAGACGUUAUGUCAUGCACAACAACCUGCUCCCCUAUCUCCAAGGUCAAGGUCACACUUAGAGGUCAAAGCUUAACAUGAUAGAUUUUUAAAUUCCGUGUUUCAUUUUAUUUUUUUAACAAAUUUAUUGUUACAUUUGCAGAUCUAGCAUUGAUCAUAAUUUUGGACUGAAUGUCCUGAGAUCCAUACCUCAAUCUUUUGAAAUAGCACAAUUUUAUGCUUCAUAUAAAACUCCCGGGCCGGGGGACGUUGGUAACUCUGUUACAAAUUCUUGUUUAGAUU